UGCAACCAAGGGUUAAGUGUUUGGGGUUU
This 29-nucleotide non-coding RNA is filed under the name Rattus norvegicus (Norway rat). Lineage: Eukaryota; Metazoa; Chordata; Mammalia; Rodentia; Muridae. The record is from RNAcentral.